Molecule: ribosomal RNA, 366 nt
Filed under: uncultured soil bacterium
Lineage: Bacteria
Description: bacterial SSU rRNA
Rfam family: Bacterial small subunit ribosomal RNA
Source: RNAcentral
AGAACGAACGCUGGCGGCAUGCCUAACACAUGCAAGUCGAACGAGACCUUCGGGUCUAGUGGCGCACGGGUGCGUAACGCGUGGGAAUCUGCCCUUGGGUUCGGAAUAACAGUUGGAAACGACUGCUAAUACCGGAUGAUGACGUUAAGUCCAAAGUAUUUAUCGCCCAGGGAUGAGCCCGCGUAGGAUUAGCUAGUUGGUGAAGGUAAAGGCUACACCGAAGGCGACGAUCCUUAGCUGGUCUAGAGAGGAUGAUCAGCCACACUGGGACUGAGACCACGGCCCAGACCUCCUACGGGAGCCGAGCCAGGUGGGGAAUAGUUAGGAACAAGUGGGACGAAAGCCUGAUCCGAAGACAAUCGACCG